Molecule: long non-coding RNA, 405 nt
Filed under: Theobroma cacao (cacao)
Lineage: Eukaryota; Viridiplantae; Streptophyta; Magnoliopsida; Malvales; Malvaceae
Description: long non-coding RNA (TCAC_LNC002433)
Source: RNAcentral
GAAAAUAGAGUAAUUGGAGACUGCUAGUUUGUGUUGCAAAUUUAUGGUUUUGGAUUGAAUGGCUUAUGAUAAUAAAUGAGCAUGAAUGGCUAAACUGAUUUUGGUGUUAGAAUUAUUUAUACUGUGUAUUCAGCCUUCAGAGGCUAGGUUGCGAUAAAUUGCCAUGUCAUGCUAGAAUGAAUUUUAUUGAUUAGUGGAUUAUAUAUUAAUUAUUUACUGCAGAGGGGGUUCCAUGGACCAGCCUAUUAGAGGGGCACGGUAAACUCCAUUAUAUUAUUACCUUGAACGGAGAGGCGCGUAGGGUAUCUCUUGGGGUAAAGCUUAGGGUUCACUUCACGCCAAACCACCACGUGAAGGGGAACUCAGCCAACGCCAAGGAACGACUGUAUUUUUCUCAAACAAAAA